AUGAGACAAAAGAUCCUCUUUCUAAAGAGAUUCAGUUUGGAACUUUUAUAUGUCCAAGGUCAAUAUAGAAAUUCUUUUAGAGGGUUUUUCUUACUUUGA
RNAcentral lists this ribosomal RNA (99 nucleotides) under Triticum aestivum (bread wheat). RNAcentral describes it as "partial small subunit ribosomal RNA". The record is from RNAcentral. Lineage: Eukaryota; Viridiplantae; Streptophyta; Magnoliopsida; Poales; Poaceae.